RNAcentral lists this transfer RNA (83 nucleotides) under Bacillota bacterium. RNAcentral describes it as "tRNA-Leu". It matches the Rfam family "tRNA". Rfam says of the family: Transfer RNA (tRNA) molecules are approximately 80 nucleotides in length. Their secondary structure includes four short double-helical elements and three loops (D, anti-codon, and T loops). The record is from RNAcentral. Lineage: Bacteria; Bacillati; Bacillota.
GCGGGCGUGUUGGAAUGGCAGACAAGCUGGUCUUAGAAACCAGUGCUUUACGCGUGCGGGUUCAAGUCCCGCCGCCCGCACCA